This 425-nucleotide ribosomal RNA is filed under the name uncultured bacterium. RNAcentral describes it as "partial 16S ribosomal RNA". It matches the Rfam family "Bacterial small subunit ribosomal RNA", at positions 354 to 796 of the family's 1533-position model. The record is from RNAcentral.
GUGGGGAAUAUUGGACAAUGGGCGAAAGCCUGAUCCAGCAAUGCCGCGUGAGUGAUGAAGGCCUUAGGGUUGUAAAGCUCUUUUACCCGGGAUGAUAAUGACAGUACCGGGAGAAUAAGCUCCGGCUAACUCCGUGCCAGCAGCCGCGGUAAUACGGAGGGAGCUAGCGUUGUUCGGAAUUACUGGGCGUAAAGCGCACGUAGGCGGCUUUGUAAGUUAGAGGUGAAAGCCUGGAGCUUAACUCCAGAACUGCCUUUAAGACUGCAUCGCUUGAAUCCAGGAGAGGUGAGUGGAAUUCCGAGUGUAGAGGUGAAAUUCGUAGAUAUUCGGAAGAACACCAGUGGCGAAGGCGACUCACUGGCCCAAUACUGACGCUGAGGCGCGAAAGCGUGGGGAGCAAACAGGAUUAGAAACCCCGGUAGUCC